ACCAUAACUUGAUCUUUUGGAUGGAACAGUUCUCUUCCUGUUUACUACAUUUGAGAUGAAAACCAGCGAGUUCUUCUGUACAUCUGUGCUGACACUGUGUUUAUCUACAAUGUCUUCAGAAUACUCAGCACCAUCUUCAGGAAGUUUUGCAUCUGGAGGUGGACCUUAGCCGUGGAAAUGCCAACAAGUACCUUCAACCUCCUCAAAGAGUAUGGUGUUCAGGUGAGCUCAGUUUGAGUGUGCAAAGCUAGUUUACAGUCACACCAAGCCCAGGUCCAAACGUAUUUUUGGUUUUGCUGGCAUUCAGUUAUGAUUCACUAGCACUUGUAAACCAAACCAAAACAAAACAAAACACGACCGUAUCCUUGAUCUCAUUUUACUCUUCUUAAUAGUGAGCAAUAUUUUUUUGAGCAUGUAUUAUGUGCCAGGUUCUGCUAAUUUUGUUACAGCAAGAUUCUGACGCAGUGCAUGCAAAGGUGCUGGGGAGGGGUUCUUUAAUAACACAAUGGACUGCUACUGUUAAGUACUAGGUAAUUUGUCUGAAGUCAUGGGCCAGCGGCCUUUCCUGUUCUAGACAUGCUCUUAACUGCUCCUGAGACCCAGAAAUUAUUAGUCUCAGUUUGCUUGAAGCGACUUGCCAAGGACACCCACCGAGUCAACUCUUCCAUUCUGCGUUGUCAUACUCAUCCUUGCAUCCUUCGCUCACCACAUGGCUGCUCAGCCCCUACAAUGUGCCAGACAGUGCAAAGUGCUCACCUGGGUGCAGGACCCAGAACCCAGUCAGAGGGCCUGGGUGACUGGGCUCUCCUGGGCACAUGUCAUACUGCCCGAUGAAGAAAGAAAAUCACCCAAACCCUGGAAAUCCCUUUGUCCUCCUUCCACAAUCCCGUCUCCUAGUUAACUAGGGUUAACUAGUUAACUAGUGUCCCAGAUUUUGUGUUACACAUUCCCAUGCUUUCCUGUAUACUUUUGUCUAGCAAGUAUC
RNAcentral lists this long non-coding RNA (985 nucleotides) under Mustela putorius furo (domestic ferret). RNAcentral describes it as "lncRNA (ENSMPUG00000025216.1)". Lineage: Eukaryota; Metazoa; Chordata; Mammalia; Carnivora; Mustelidae. The record is from RNAcentral.